CUAUGGCCAUACCACUCUGAAUGCGCCCGAUCUCAUCUAUUCUUGGAAGUUAAGCAGGAUUGGGCCUGGUCUGUGCUUGAAUGGGAGAAUAAAAUUAGGCUGCACCAUCUU
Molecule: ribosomal RNA, 111 nt
Filed under: Carlito syrichta (Philippine tarsier)
Lineage: Eukaryota; Metazoa; Chordata; Mammalia; Primates; Tarsiidae
Source: RNAcentral